This 253-nucleotide ribosomal RNA is filed under the name uncultured bacterium. RNAcentral's name for it is "partial 16S ribosomal RNA". It matches the Rfam family "Bacterial small subunit ribosomal RNA", at positions 524 to 776 of the family's 1533-position model. The record is from RNAcentral.
UACGUAGGCAGCGAGCGUUGUUCGGAGUUACUGGGCGUAAAGGGCGCGUAGGUGGCCCGAUAAGUCGGGUGUGAAACGCUGCGGCUCAACCGCAGCACUGCCUUCGAGACUGUCAGGCUUGAGCACGGUAGAGGCUGGUGGAAUUCCCGGUGUAGCGGUGGAAUGCGUAGAGAUCGGGAAGAACAUCGGUGGCGAAGGCGGCCAGCUGGGCCGUUGCUGACACUGAGGCGCGACAGCGUGGGGAGCAAACAGG